This 381-nucleotide ribosomal RNA is filed under the name uncultured bacterium. Its description in RNAcentral is "bacterial SSU rRNA". It matches the Rfam family "Bacterial small subunit ribosomal RNA", at positions 524 to 901 of the family's 1533-position model. The record is from RNAcentral.
UACGUAGGGUGCAAGCGUUGUCCGGAAUUAUUGGGCGUAAAGAGCUCGUAGGCGGUCUGUCGCGUCGGCUGUGAAAACCCGGAGCUCAACUCCGGGCCUGCAGUCGAUACGGGCAGACUGGAGUUCGGCAGGGGAGACUGGAAUUCCUGGUGUAGCGGUGAAAUGCGCAGAUAUCAGGAGGAACACCGGUGGCGAAGGCGGGUCUCUGGGCCGAUACUGACGCUGAGGAGCGAAAGCGUGGGGAGCGAACAGGAUUAGAUACCCUGGUAGUCCACGCCGUAAACGUUGGGCGCUAGGUGUGGGGGCCAUUCCACGGUUUCCGUGCCGCAGCUAACGCAUUAAGCGCCCCCCCCUGGGGAGUACGGCCGCAAGGCUAAAACU